ACCAUUUUGGCUCAUUGAAUAGAGCGUUGGUCUGUGGACUCAAGGGUCCUGGGUUUGAUUCCGGGCAAGGGUA
RNAcentral lists this transfer RNA (73 nucleotides) under Myotis davidii. It matches the Rfam family "tRNA". Rfam says of the family: Transfer RNA (tRNA) molecules are approximately 80 nucleotides in length. The record is from Rfam by way of RNAcentral. Lineage: Eukaryota; Metazoa; Chordata; Mammalia; Chiroptera; Vespertilionidae.